Molecule: non-coding RNA, 716 nt
Organism: Pelobates cultripes (western spadefoot toad)
Lineage: Eukaryota; Metazoa; Chordata; Amphibia; Anura; Pelobatidae
Source: the annotation of a GenBank genome assembly
GUGCGUCUUUGUGUCGCAUUGUAAUAAUGCUCUAAUGCAGAAGAAAAAAUAAAUAAAACAGUCUUAUUUACCAGAUACAUCAUACAAGUAUACAAUAGCUCCAAAUUAUCCAUAAUUAUUAUUGUAUGUAUUAUUCUGAGAAUUCAAAGUACCAGUUUAUUGAGAUGGGUUUAAAUAACCUACUAGUACUGUAGCGGUGCAAUAUGUGAAUGGUCAAUGAACAUGAAUUUAAAAUGGCACAAACUAUACAUAGCACAUCACAUAAAGAGAGGACGUUUGAAUGGCCUUUGCCCAGCAGAGGUAGAUAAAGGUUAUAACAAACUGAUUACUGACCAUAAACACUUAAAUAGUAGAUCAGUUGAACAAGAGCCCACCUAUUAAGUGCUUUUUAUACAGCGCGCAAUCUUUAUUCUCUACAGAACCAACUUACCAUCCAGUUAUUGCUCCACUAUAUUUAAAUACACUAUCUAUUUAAAAUCUACAUUCUACCACUAUUUAAGGCUUUAUUUUAUUAUUCAUUCUACAAGUCUUGUUUUUGCAAUAUGUAGAUGAAAUUACAUAGUGUCCCCAACAAAAAGCACCAUGUUUUUUAAUAACUUAAAAAUGGAAUUGAAACUCAUGGAAAAAAUAUCACUAAACAAAUAUAUUUUAUUUAAUAUAUUUUUUUGAAUUUUUUUUUUUGUCUGGUGCAUUUUCAAACUAUUGCGCUACUAUGU